UUAUCUGUGAAUAAUGGGGCUUACAAAUGAAUGAGAUCCCUCUUUAUAUAAUAGGGGAAUCCUAAAUAAGUUACACUUCUAAUUAUAGUAGGAAAUCACAUUUGACAACUGUUUAACCGUUGUAGACCAAUCCAUUCCGUAAUUCACGCCGUGAUCUCCGGCCCGUUGCGGGUAUCUCGCUCUUUCCGUUACUGAAUCAUACCGACAUCAUUUCUAAGCACGCCUUCUUCUGACCUCGGUAAGUGUUAUCGACCUCGACCUUGGAAAGGGACUUCGACCCUAAAACUCGACGUCCUGGUCUUUCAACGUAGUAUCACUUUUUCCAUCGAGAGACAAAAUCAGGUAGCCUCAAUUUUCACCGUAUACACCUAUAAAAACAAGUGAUAUAACAAAGAAUUAGGUAUCAAAAGGAAGCUUAUAACUACAGAAUAAGUGCAGAGUAGGUUAGGAAAGUUUGGCGAAAAUGUAACAAGUGUGCUGGAGCUGAUGUUCUUUCUACGUGUAGAAGUUGUUUUAUAUAUCAAACUUGAAACAUCAGUCGACCAAUAGCAUUAAAGGCCUCCACGUUUAGGACAUAUUAAUAUACGAGAAAAUACAAGACGUGAACAACGGCAGUGAGAUGAUAUGUCAUGACACGUGGACCGGUCAAAUAGUCAAAGCAUGACAAACAGUAAGAAGACACAAGCAACAAUAGAUGCGGGAGAGAAGACACGAGCAACAAUAGAUGCGGGAGAGAAGAUACGAGUUACUAUCCAGAUGAAACGAGA
This is a long non-coding RNA of Nicotiana attenuata, 767 nucleotides long. RefSeq lists it as uncharacterized. NCBI's taxonomy places the organism in Eukaryota, Viridiplantae, Streptophyta, Magnoliopsida, Solanales, Solanaceae. The record is from RefSeq and is a predicted model, not a curated record. The transcript is spliced from 3 exons.